RNAcentral lists this long non-coding RNA (1951 nucleotides) under Salmo salar (Atlantic salmon). RNAcentral's name for it is "lncRNA (ENSSSAG00000100631.1)". The record is from RNAcentral. Lineage: Eukaryota; Metazoa; Chordata; Actinopteri; Salmoniformes; Salmonidae.
UGUUUUGAGUGUAAUUACCAGAUCCACCAGUCGACUACUUAUAUCCAUAACCCAUUAUAUAUUUCACCAUAGAAACUGGAACAAGACAGUAAAAUGCAUAUAUUUUAAUAUCAAUCCAAACUUUCCAAGUAGAUUUUUUUUAAAGAAAAGGGGAAACUGAAGCAUUACAUCGUGGAACCAACUUUGAGCUUUUUUUUGGGGGGGGGGGGGUCUGUGUUGUACGUGGGACAUAUUUGGGAGACGGACCGUCGCUAGGCAACAGUCCCGAAACGCGAUUGAGAGAACAAAGGAUUCCUGAAACUUCAAGGGAGGUGCACCGUUCCUGGAGGUACUGCAAUACCAGGUCGAUGCGUGGAGUGGACGGAGCAAGCCCCUAUUCCAUCUCCCUGUUCCAAAAAUCAAUUUAAUAUAUGGUCCCCAGAUAGGGGACGUAUCAGAUAUUAAACUGAUAAGAACAGAUACUACACUUGAUCUUAGCCAAAAGGCCGAGAAGCGAUACCCGCAAUGCUUUCGGGAGGAAGUCGCCGUUCUCCGACACGUCAAAUUCGAUUAUGGUUACACCAAAAAAUGAGCUCGAGCCUUGUAUGAUCAGGCCAUUGUGAGGAGGUCUUCAUAAAGUGUCCCUCCUAAAUUACUAGAUGCCAAACUUCAAAGAUGUCCACAGCACUGGACUGCAGUGAGAGAGCCAGGCCUACAGUACGGCCUAAGGACUGGCUUAUGGUCCUGGCUGCCUGAAUGUUUCCUCCACAUAAUAAACUAACAAACACAGCACUGGACUGCAGUGAGAGAGCCAGGCCUACAGUACGGCCUAAGGAGCGGGCCUGGCUUAUGGUCCUGGCUGCCUGAAUGUUUCCUCCACAUAACAAACACAGCACUGGACUGCAGUGAGAGAGCCAGGCCUACAGUACGGCCUAAGGAGCGGGCCUGGCUUAUGGUCCUGGCUGCCUGAAUGUUUCCUCCACAUAACAAACACAGCACUGGACUGCAGUGAGAGAGCCAGGCCUACAGUACGGCCUAAGGAGCGGGCCUGGCUUAUGGUCCUGGCUGCCUGAAUGUUUCCUCCACAUAACAAACACAGCACUGGACUGCAGUGAGAGAGCCAGGCCUACAGUACGGCCUACGGAGCGGGCCUGGCUUAUGGUCCUGGCUGCCUGAAUGUUUCCUCCACAUAACAAACUAACAAACACAGCACUGGACUGCAGUGAGAGAGCCAGGCCUACAGUAUGGCCUAAGGACUGGCUUAUGGUCCUUACUGCCUGAAUGUUUCCUCCACAUAACAAACUAACAAACACAGCACUGGACUGCAGUGAGAGAGCCAGGCCUACAGUACGGCCUACGGAGCGGGCCUGGCUUAUGGUCCUGGCUGCCUGAAUGUUUCCUCCACAUAACAAACACAGCACUGGACUGCAGUGAGAGAGCCAGGCCUACAGUACGGCCUACGGAGCGGGCCUGGCUUAUGGUCCUGGCUGCCUGAAUGUUUCCUCCACAUAACAAACUAACAAACACAGCACUGGACUGCAGUGAGAGAGCCAGGCCUACAGUAUGGCCUAAGGACUGGCUUAUGGUCCUGGCUGCCUGAAUGUUUCCUCCACAUAAUAAACUAACAAACACAGCACUUUGGAGGCUUACUCAGUCACUACAACAAACUUCAUAAAAUGCCAUUAGGCCUAAUGAAGAUACUAUAUAUAUAUAUAUGUAAGUUACUUGAUUGGUGUCUUGUGAAUCAACCUGUAUGCGCAUUAGGAUUGAAUAUUUCCCCGGGAUUAUAGGAUAAUAAAUCACUUUUCUCCCAGGUAACCUGGUAGUUUCCACCCAAACUGGAAGUGUCAUUCAAAAGCAUUAUAAGGUAUAUAAAUGUGUGGAUUUGAUGAGAGCUUUGAUCAGCAUGAACAUUAUAAUCUGAUGCUACCUGAGCCUAAUGAGACAUAUAAUAAAUACAUUUUAUGAGCCC